CUAAAUCCGGUUCCAGAUGGUCCCUUGCCCGCAACGGCAAGGGCUAAGAGGGAAUGCGGUGCCGGGCAAAAUCCCAAAUCCGCGGCUGUCCCCGCAACUGUAAGCGAAGAGCCAAGGCCGAAAACCACUGGGAAUUCCCGGGAAGGCGGCUACCCAAGGCGAUGACUCGCGAGCCAGGAGACCUGCCGUCUGCGACUGUAGAAU
This 204-nucleotide non-coding RNA is filed under the name Mesorhizobium ciceri. Lineage: Bacteria; Pseudomonadati; Pseudomonadota; Alphaproteobacteria; Hyphomicrobiales; Phyllobacteriaceae. The record is from RNAcentral.